GACAGAGGAUGCAAGCGUUAUCCGGAAUGAUUGGGCGUAAAGCGUCUGUAGGUGGCUUCUUAAGUCCGCUGUCAAAUCCCAGGGCUUAACCCUGGCCAGGCGGUGGAGACUACUAAGCUUGAGUACGGUAGGGGCAGAGGGAAUUUCCGGUGGAGCGGUGAAAUGCGUAGAGAUCGGAAAGAACACCAACGGCGAAAGCACUCUGCUGGGCCGACACUGACACUGAGAGACGAAAGCUAGGGGAGCGAAUGGG
RNAcentral lists this ribosomal RNA (253 nucleotides) under uncultured bacterium. RNAcentral describes it as "partial 16S ribosomal RNA". It matches the Rfam family "Bacterial small subunit ribosomal RNA", at positions 524 to 776 of the family's 1533-position model. The record is from RNAcentral.